Molecule: non-coding RNA, 46 nt
Filed under: Schistosoma haematobium
Lineage: Eukaryota; Metazoa; Platyhelminthes; Trematoda; Strigeidida; Schistosomatidae
Source: RNAcentral
GCACUGCUGAGGAGUCCCACAAUAGGAUGAUACGACCUUCCAGUGC